This 261-nucleotide ribosomal RNA is filed under the name Vibrio tasmaniensis. RNAcentral describes it as "partial 16S ribosomal RNA". It matches the Rfam family "Bacterial small subunit ribosomal RNA", at positions 1287 to 1533 of the family's 1533-position model. Lineage: Bacteria; Pseudomonadati; Pseudomonadota; Gammaproteobacteria; Vibrionales; Vibrionaceae. The record is from RNAcentral.
CGUAGUCCGGAUUGGAGUCUGCAACUCGACUCCAUGAAGUCGGAAUCGCUAGUAAUCGUGAAUCAGAAUGUCACGGUGAAUACGUUCCCGGGCCUUGUACACACCGCCCGUCACACCAUGGGAGUGGGCUGCAAAAGAAGUGGGUAGUUUAACCUUUCGGGGAGGACGCUCACCACUUUGUGGUUCAUGACUGGGGUGAAGUCGUAACAAGGUAGCCCUAGGGGAACCUGGGGCUGGAUCACCUCCUUAUACGAAGAUACC